GGUGGCAGGUGAGCAGCUUACCGAAAGGAGGAAGCUCCUCCCAUACAGAGCGCACAUGGCCCAAGGCCUAAUCCGGAACAGAAACGAUACCGGAGCGAUGCACAAAGCGAUGACACGACGAGCGCAUCGUGACGGAUGAAACGCGCCGGUGCGUGCGCAGUGAGUAUGCAAGGCCUUACGGCCGCUCAGUCGAAUGCUGCAUAAAACAGAAGGAGGGCUACGGCCUGCCACU
RNAcentral lists this RNase P RNA (232 nucleotides) under Microcaldota archaeon. RNAcentral describes it as "RNase P RNA component". It matches the Rfam family "Archaeal RNase P". From Rfam's summary of the family: Ribonuclease P (RNase P) is a ubiquitous endoribonuclease, found in archaea, bacteria and eukarya as well as chloroplasts and mitochondria. Lineage: Archaea; Nanobdellati; Microcaldota. The record is from RNAcentral.